UUUUUUUUAAUCCAAAACCUUACUUCUCGAUUGGCAGCUCUGCUUUGUUCGUGUCUGUCUUGUUUUUCUUCAAACACCUGUGCUGCAACAUGUCUCAGCUAUUGCCAACAGCAAGAGAGUAGAGUUCCAUUCGAGAGGUCUGUUUUUUUCAUUCCUUUUAUUGAAUUCUUGCCAUUUUCGUGUUGGAUUUUUUUGUUUGAUUGUUCUAAAAUUGGUUAAAACAGUUCGUAGUAAGUGAUAUUUCAAUUGGCUGUUAAUAGAUGUGGCCAGUAAUUCUUAUUCUUCUUCUUUAAUGUGAUUUUUGUUUAUAAAGAAAUCCAAUUCUUGCCCACCUUGUCUUCCUUCACUGGUAAAAGAAAAAUAAAUGAAAUUCUAAACUUAGUGAGUGGAUACGUCAGAUUGGUUUUGAAAAACUUGUAUUUAGUUUGCGAAGAUUUUAAGUGAACUCAGAAUUUUAGUAUAAUUUGGAUGUAGGGGAACUCAGAUGCAUAAGGCAAUUACUUCUUAUAAGUAAGAUGAUUCCUAUGUAAUUUAUGCAAAGAAAGCAAGUAUCCAAACACUAGGCUUUUAUGAAUUCAGAUCUAAGCUAAAAGUGUAGAUUAACCAACUUUUCUGUUAGUUAGUUUGUGAGAUUGUGGUUCUUAAAAAAGCAAUUUUAGCAACUCAAUCAUCAAAAAUCAAUAAUGAUACAAGAAAAAGAAAAGCAAAAGCAAACUAUGGGAAUUUCUUCCAUGAAGUAAUUUGUUGAUUGGUUUCUUCAUGUAUUUUUAAGAGUGUGAGAAGUGAAAGUUUCAUGUUUCCAUUCCCAUCCAUAAGCACAGUUGUAAAUCUUAGCAGCUUAGGCCAUGGCAUGUUUGAUAGCAUCUUAGCUUUUGGCCUUGACCAAUCUAGGCCUGAUCACAAGUCAGAAUCCACUUGUGAGCCUCAUGAGAUGAGGUAAUCUAUCAGGUUGGAAUUGAACUUAGUCGCUUUGUAACAAUGAUUUCUCUCUCUGAUUUCACAUUUUGCCUUGGAUGAUUUCUUAGCUGCUAGGAUCAGCACUGGAGAUUGCAGUAUGACACACUGCAGUAGGAUUUUGUGCUCCAAAAUGGUUUAGCAGCUCUAGUAUGAAUCCACUAUUCAGGACUGAAGCUCUUUGCCAUUCUGCAAAUUUAUGAAGGCUUUGUCUGUGAUUUAUUUAUUUAUUCAUUUAUUUUUAUUUCACCGUGGCUUUGCUUGCAAGAUAUUUUUCAGAUAACUCCUGUGUGGUUUUUGUUGAUAAUUAAUUAUCCAGAAAAUCAAGCACCUGGAGUUUUUUUAUUGGGUGUAAGGGGACUUAGAUGCACAAGGCCAAUUUCUUCUUAGAAGUAACAUGCUUCGUAUAUAAUUUAAUACAAAUACAGAAAGUAUCCUAGUUUAGACUGUUAUGAAUUGAGAUCUAAGCUAAUAGAGCAGCUUUAACUUCAUGUUUAAGCACAGUUGUAAGUACUAGGAGCCUAGCCAACCCAUUGCAAGUUUGAUAAUGUCUUAUUAUUGGGUCUUGACCAAUCUAGGCCUGACAAGUCAGAAUCCUCUUGUGGGCCUGAUGAGAUGAUUGAAGUUCUCUAUAUGCAAAUUUAUUAAUGCUUUGAGUGUCUUUGAUUUUUUUUUUUAUAACCUUUCUGUAGCUUUGUAACAAUGGUUUCUCUCUCUGGUUUCACCUUUUUGCCUUGCAAAAUUUCUACUACGCUCAGCACCGGAUAUUGCACUCAAAAGUUCUAUUGGUUUCAUUUUUUCCUUUAUUAAAUUUUUGCAGUAUUUCAUGCUGCAAUUACGAUUUUGUGCCCGAAAAUGGUUUAGCAGCUUUAAUAUGAAUCCAGGGGAGUAAGGAGCAGUGAGUUGGCGUUUGAUGCCGUGUAACUCGCAGAACUUGCUGAACUCAUUCGAUGUAAACUCGCCUCCUUUGUCUGUUCUAAACGUUUUGAGCUUACAUUCGGACUUGACUUUAAUAUGAGCUUUCAUUUUCUUGAAAGCACUAAAAACCUCAUCUUUUCUUUUGAGCAUUUCAAUCCAUAUAUAACGACUGUAAUCAUCCACGAGCAAGAGAAAAUACUUGUUUUUGCCGCAUGUGGUAGGUGAUGACGGCCCGCACAAGUCACCAUGCACGAGUUCUAGAGAUUUGGUUGCUUGAUACUCUCCUGCUUUCAGGAAACUCGUGCGAUGCUGUUUACUGAUCACACAUUGUUCACAGAUGUGCUUCACUGUUUCUAUCUCCGGUAAACCUUUCACCAUGUUUUCUUGUGCGAGCUUGCGUAAAGCUUGAUAGUUGAGGUGCCCGUAGAGUGCGUGCCAUAAGCAAGGCUUUUCAGACAACCUUGUCAGGUGGCACUUCGAUUUUGCUUGUGUCAUUCUAAUCGUGUAAAGGCGAUUUUCCGCUCUAUGCACCUUGGCUAUCAACUUGUCAUUUGCGUCAUAUUCUCUAAGAAUUUCUCCUUUCACCACCACUUUUGCUCCUGAUUCGUCGAGUUGACCAAGACUUAUAAUAUUGGAUCUUAAUCGAGGAAGAUAGUACACAUUCGUUAGUUCGAAAUGAUCUCGGUUCUUGCACUGAAACACUGAAGUGCCUCGGCCUUCUACCUUGACGACUGAACCAUCACCGAACCCGACAUUCCCUUUCAUUGAUUCAUCGAGAUUGGUUAAGGCUAGCUUGUUACCUGUCUUAUGGUUGCUUGCCCCCGUAUCAUAAGCUCGUCUGUGCCCUAGCUGUUACAUUGAUAGUUUGUUAAUAAGCACGUACCCACGUGCUCUGAAUAUUUUGAAUUGUUCAGUGUUUGUUUCCUUCAACCCGAGUCUUGCGCAAUGUGGCUUCAAGCUCGAAUUAAGUUUCAUUUUUCAGUUUGUAAUGGUUGUUAUAUUGAUUCAAGUAUAAAUAAGAACAAAAGGCCAAUCAAGAUUAUCGAUUAAGUUUGAAAAAUCUGAGCAAAAACCCUAACAUAAAAACAUUGCAGAAACUCAAAGUGCACUGUCUGGCUCACACCCUCGAGAGUUUGUUUUUAGAGUCUACGCGGUUCUCAUAAAGUCUGUCCUUUCAGCCAUUUCCACUUACACUAUGUCAAUUCUUAAGCAUCCCAGGAUUUUUUGUAAAAAGCUAAAUAGCAUUCUCUCAAACUUCUGGUGGGGAAGCGGUGAAGACUCGAGAAAAUGCAUUGGAUUAGUUAGAAAAAAGCUUUCAUUCCUAAAGCUAAAGGCGGCAUGGGUUUCAAGGAUUUCAAUAUUUUUAAUCUCGCUUGUCUUGGGAAAUAAUGUUGGAGACUUAUUCAGAAUCCGACAGCGGUUUGGGCUUGACUCAUCAAAAGUGUUUAUUUUCCAAGUACAGAUCUUUGGCAAGCUUCUCAUUCUAGAGAAGGCUCAGGGUAAACUUGUGAUUUUAAAUACGUUAUUAACUUUCUAAUUAUAUUCCUGAGCCGGCAAGUUUUAAUUGCAACUGUGUGUUGGUUUAUUUGGAAAGAAAGGAACAAGGCAAUCUUUAACCACAUGCCUCCAUAUCCUAUCUUUGUGGCUCGCAAGACCCUUUCUAGCUUUCAAGAGCUAGAGUUUGUAAGAGACAUAAGCCGGUCAAUAGUAUUGUUCAUAAUUCUGGUGUUUCUGUUUGGCAAGCUCCACCUUUUGAGAUGUUAAAGUUCAAUUCUGAUGCUGCUUAGAAAUCUCAUUCUAUGUUUGCUUCUAUUGCUAUUGUGGUUCGGAACUCUUAUGGUAGAAGUUUAUAUGGUAGAAUUUGUAAGGCUGUUGCCGAGUCUCCUGUUGUGGUAGAAGCUUUAGGGGUCCUAGAGGCUAUGAAACUUGCUUUAGAGAUGGGAGCUAAGAAUGUUUUUAUGGAAAUAGAUUCAAAAUUGGUACAUUCUGCUGUCAUUCAAAAUUGUUUUUAUGGAAAUAGAGGCUAUGAAAAAAUAGAUGGCGAUAAAACCUAAACUAGAUAAAAAUAGAAAAGGAAAGGCUCUCCUCUGUCCACAAAACAAAAGAGAUCACUGGGAUAAGAAGAAUUUUAAAAGCAGAAAGAGAAAAAAAAAAGACUAAAUUUAUGAUCUUAAUGUGUGCGUAUUAUGAAAAAUAAAAUACACAUUUACGUUUAAUAACAUGAGCAGCUUAGGUUAUUUAAAUCAUACGCUAAAUGGAUUAAACGUUAUUGUUUUUUAUUGAAUGUUAUACUCGAAUUAAUUUUUUACUUCUAAUCUUAUAAUUUUUAUUUAUUUUAUUUUUUUAUUAAAAAAAAUAAUUUUGUAUUAAUUUUCUACUUAUAUUUAUUUUAAAUAUAUUAACAAAAUAUUUGAAAUAGAAAUAUUUUAAAUAUUCACUUAGUCUCUGUUUUAUAUAAAAUAAUUUGUAUUUAGAAAAUAUUUUUUUUAAAAAUAUUUUUUAUAAAAAAUAACUUUUGUGAAAAAUAGAGAUAAAUUAUUUUUUAUUAUUCAAUUUUAAUUUUAAAAAUAAAAUUUAUUAAUAAAUUUAUAUAUAAAAAUUUUAAUAAGAAUCUUGAAAAUUUACUUUCUUUUUUAAAAUAAUUUCUCAUUAAAUUUUUUUCAUGGUUCCAGUUUUUUCAAAAAAAUAUAUUUUAUAUUUUCUAUUCUUUAGCAUAUUCAAAAAAUUUACUUAAUAAUAAAUAUUUUUCCAUAAAAAAUAAAUAAAUCAUUUUAAAAGAAAUAACUUUUUCUUUUGAUAUUCUUAUUAAAAUCUCUAUAUAUAAAUUUGUUAAUAAAUUUUAUUUUUUAAAUUAAAAUUAAAUAAUAAAAAAAUAAAUUAUUCCAUUGAAAAAUAUUUUUUAAAUAUAAUUUAUUUAUUUUUAAUAUAAUUUAUUUAAGGAAAAAUAUUUUUUGUAAAAAUUAUUUUUAAAUAUAAAUUAUUUUCUGUAAACGGAGGCUUAUAAUUAAAGAAAUUCCAUACACGUUGGAAAAAGAAGCAAGCAAUUUGACGGGCCGAAAAUGUAUUUGAUUUUGGGCAUGAAAGCCCAUUGAAUGUCCAUCGUAAAAUCACAAGUUUGCCUGCCCAGGGUUUGCGUUUCGAUUUCACUCCAUCCUCAAACAGACCAUACACGUUACACUCAGUACACACCGUAUUCUCUGUUCCUUGUGAUGAAUCUUGAUGCGAUGGGUAAGAUUCAUCUGAUGAUCAUGGGAUCUCUUUUAUCAACGGUUAAAACUUAUUGUCACUGUACCAUUAACCAGACUCUUCCUACUCAAGGACACACGCAAUCAUCGUGAACAAUUGAUCAAUUGCCCACCCAUAUUCACCUAUCGAGUGGAGCCACCUUAUAUUACCACAGACAGGUGUCGCACUUCCAAGCAUGAUCUACAGGUCACUGACCAUUCGUUGAGACACAUCAUCAGUGGAGGGCCCACGCGUAUGGUGUUAUCAAGGUGGCUUAAGAUGGGCAGCUAGUCAGGUGGUCUGGUUGAAAUCAAACUAAAAUCUAAACCCACAUCGUUCAUUGACUUCAUUUUAAUAUUCUUUAUAAUGCGAAGCGAAAUAUACAAUGCUUGUCCCUUCGGGGACAUCCGAUAAAAUUGGAACGAUACAGAGAAGAUUAGCAUGGCCCCUGCGCAAGGAUGACACGCACAAAUCGAGAAAUGGUCCAAAUUUUUUUUAAUCCAAAACCUUACUUCUCGAUUGGAGCUCUGCUUUGUUGGUGUCUGUCUUGUUUUUGUUCAAACGCCUGUGCUGCAACAUUUCUUAGCUAUUGCCAACAGCAAGGGAGUAGAGUUCCAUUCGAGAGGUCUGUUUUUUUCCUUCCUUUUAUUGAAUUCUUGUCAUUUUCGUGUUGGAUUUUUUUGUUUGAUUGUUCUAAAAUUGGUUAAAACAGUUCGUAGUAAGUGAUAUUUCAAUUGGCUGUUAAUAGAUGUUGCCAAUAAUUCUUAUUCUUCUUCUUUAAUGUGAUUUUUGUUUCUUGGGAUUUAUGUUCUUCCACAUGAAUGCGGGAAUAGAGGUUUGUCCUGGCUUGGAAAUUUAUCAAAUUGUAUUAGGAUCUUUUGCUUGCUAAACAUUGUUUGGAUGGUUUCUAUGUUCAUCCACAUGAAUGUGGUACUUUGCUUUCAUGUCAAUCUAUAAGUAAAGAAAUCCAAUUCUUACCCACCUUGUCUUCCUUCAUUGGUUAAAGAAAAAUAAAUGAAAUUCUAAACUUAGUGAGUGGAUACGCCAGAGUGGUUUUGAAAAACUUGCGUUUAGUUUGCGAAGAUUUUAAGGGAACUCAGAAUUUUAGUAUAAUUUGGAUGUAGGGGAACUCAGAUGCAUAAGGCAAUUACUUCUUAAAAAGAUUCCUAUGUAAUUUAUGCAAAGAAAGCAAGUACCCAAACACUAGGCUUUUAUGAAUUCAGAUCUAAGCUAGAAGUGUAGAUUAAUCAACUUUUCUGUUAGUUAGUUUGUGAGUUUGUGGUUCUUUAAAAAGCAAUUUUAGCAACUCAAUCAUCAAAAAUCAAUAGUGAUACAAGAAAAAGAAAAGCAAAAGCAAACUAUGGGAAUUUCUUCCAUGAAGUAAUUUGUUGAUUGGUUUCUUCAUGUAUUUUUAAGAGUGUGAGAAGUGAAAGUUUCAUGUUUCUAUUCCCAUCCAUAAGCACAGUUGUAAGUCUUAGCAGCUUAGGCCAUGGCAUGUUUGAUAGCAUCUUAGCUUUGGGGCUUGACCAAUCUAGGCCUGAUCACAAGUCAGAAUCCACUUGUGAGCCUAAUGAGAUGAUGUAAUCUAUCAGAUUGGAAUUGAACUUAGUCCCAUAUUGUUUAGUUAUGCAUAAUUGUAAAGCCUUGUAUAAAACAGAAACAAGAGGUUGUCCAGUAUGGCCCCUGCGUAAGGAUGACUGGCACAAAUCCAGAAAUGGUCCAAAUUUUGUUUUUAAACCUUUCUGAAGCUUUGUAACAAUGGUUUCUCUCUCUGAUUGCACAUUUUGCCUUGGAUGAUUUCUUAGCUGCUAGGAUCAGCACUGGAGAUUGCAUUCAAAAUUUCUUAGCUAUUGGUUUCUUUUUUUUUUUUCCUUUAUUAAAUGAUUGCAGUAUGACAUACUGCAGUAGGAUUUUGUGCUCCAAAAUGGUUUAGCAGCUCUAGUAUGAAUCUACUAUUCAGGACUGAAGCUCUUUGCCAUUCUGCAAAUUUAUGAAGGCUUUGUCUGUGAUUUAUUUAUUUAUUCAUUUAUUUUUAUUUUACUCUCGCUUUGCUUGCAAGAUAUUUUUCAGAUAACUCCUGAGUGGUUUUUGUUGAUAAUUAAUUAUCCAGAAAAUCAAGCACCUGGAGUUUUUUUAUUGGGUGUAAGGGGACCUAGAUGCACAAGGCCAAUUUCUUCUUACAAGUAACAUGCUUCCUAUAUAAUUUAAUACAAAUACAGAAAGUAUCCUAGUUUAGACUGUUAUGAAUUGAGAUCUAAGCUAAUAGAGC
This 7366-nucleotide long non-coding RNA is filed under the name Manihot esculenta (cassava). The record is from RNAcentral. Lineage: Eukaryota; Viridiplantae; Streptophyta; Magnoliopsida; Malpighiales; Euphorbiaceae.